Molecule: ribosomal RNA, 449 nt
Filed under: uncultured bacterium
Lineage: Bacteria
Description: partial 16S ribosomal RNA
Rfam family: Bacterial small subunit ribosomal RNA
Source: RNAcentral
AAUGAACGCUGGCGGCAGGCCUAACACAUGCAAGUCGAACGGAUCCUUCGGGAUUAGUGGCGGACGGGUGAGUAACGCGUGGGAACAUACCCAAAGGUACGGAAUAGCCUCGGGAAACUGGGAGUAAUACCGUAUGUGCUCGAAAGAGGAAAGAUUUAUCGCCUUUGGAUUGGCCCGGGUUGGAUUAGGUAGUUGGUGGGGUAAUGGCCUACCAAGCCGACGAUCCAUAGCUGGUUUGAGAGGAUGAUCAGCCACACUGGGACUGAGACACGGCCCAGACUCGUACGGGAGGCAGCAGUGGGGAAUCUUAGACAAUGGGGGAAACCCUGAUCUAGCCAUGCCGCGUGAUCGAUGAAGGCCUUAGGGUUGUAAAGAUCUUUCAGGUGGGAAGAUAAUGACUGUACCACCAGAAGAAGCCCCGGCUAACUCCGUGCCAGCCGCCGCGGUAA